UACGUAGGGGGCAAGCGUUAUCCGGAUUCACUGGGUGUAAAGGGCGUGCAGCCGGGCUGACAAGUCAGAUGUGAAAUCCCGCGGCUUAACCGCGGAACUGCAUUUGAAACUGUUGGUCUUGAGUAUCGGAGAGGCAGGCGGAAUUCCUAGUGUAGCGGUGAAAUGCGUAGAUAUUAGGAGGAACACCAGUGGCGAAGGCGGCCUGCUGGACGACAACUGACGGUGAGGCGCGAAAGCGUGGGGAGCAAACAGG
RNAcentral lists this ribosomal RNA (253 nucleotides) under uncultured bacterium. RNAcentral describes it as "partial 16S ribosomal RNA". It matches the Rfam family "Bacterial small subunit ribosomal RNA", at positions 524 to 776 of the family's 1533-position model. The record is from RNAcentral.